RNAcentral lists this non-coding RNA (137 nucleotides) under Proboscia alata. Lineage: Eukaryota; Bacillariophyta; Melosirophyceae; Probosciales; Probosciaceae. The record is from RNAcentral.
AGAAAAGAAUUCGAAGCAAAAAAAUCAAAACAUUGGAAGUUUUGGUCUUAAACACGAUCCAAAAGAAUGCUGUGAUUUCAACAUCACAACUCGGAGUUGUGGUCGGAGAGGAAUGGCAAAAAUGAGGAAAUAUGACA